Molecule: ribosomal RNA, 267 nt
Filed under: Segatella copri
Lineage: Bacteria; Pseudomonadati; Bacteroidota; Bacteroidia; Bacteroidales; Prevotellaceae
Description: partial 16S ribosomal RNA
Rfam family: Bacterial small subunit ribosomal RNA
Source: RNAcentral
UUUACAAUGGAGAGUUUGAUCCUGGCUCAGGAUGAACGCUAGCUACAGGCUUAACACAUGCAAGUCGAGGGGAAACGACAUCGAAAGCUUGCUUUUGAUGGGCGUCGACCGGCGCACGGGUGAGUAACGCGUAUCCAACCUGCCCAUCACUUGGGGAUAACCUUGCGAAAGUAAGACUAAUACCCAAUGACGUCUCUAGAAGACAUCUGAAAGAGAUUAAAGAUUUAUCGGUGAUGGAUGGGGAUGCGUCUGAUUAGCUUGUUGGCG